GGUAGAAUUUUGAUGAUGACAUUAUCUAUCUAUUAGUCUUGACCAAAUUACGUGCCAGCAGUCGCGGUAAUACGUAGAAGACAAGUGUUAUUCAUCUUUAUUAGGUUUAAAGAGUACCAAGACGGUUAAUAAAGCCCAAAAAAAAUGAAUACGGGGGACACAUUGACUAGAGUUAUAUGAAAAGAAGCUAGAAGGUACUGUUGCGUGUAGAGAUGAAAUUCUAUGAUACCAGAUAAUUGGCACAGAUUUAUGCGAAGGCAUCUUCUUAUGUAAUAACUGACGUUGUAGGACGAAGGCUUAGGAAGUGAACAGGAUUAGGUACCCCAGUAAUCUAGGCAGAAAAUGAUGAAUGUCAUAGGUUAAAUACAGACAGGUUAAAUUGACUAUCUAAUAGUAAAUAGGUGGUAUAUUAAUCAGUCUAUUAUUGUGUCUAUAAAUGAAAGUGUAAGCAUUCCACCUCAAGAGUAAUUUGGCAACAUUGAAACUGAAAUCAUUAGACCGUUUCUGAAACCAGUAGUGAAGUAUGUUGUUUAAUUAGAUGAUACACAAAAACCUUACCACAAUUUGAAUAUAUAUAAAAUAUAUUUACAAGCGCUGCACGGCUGUCUACAGUUAAUGUCGUGAGACUUUGGUUAGUUCCAUUAAAUUAACGUAAACCCUAAUUUUAUUUAUAAAUAAAA
RNAcentral lists this ribosomal RNA (680 nucleotides) under Sticta caperata. RNAcentral describes it as "mitochondrial SSU rRNA". It matches the Rfam family "Bacterial small subunit ribosomal RNA", at positions 443 to 1126 of the family's 1533-position model. The record is from RNAcentral. Lineage: Eukaryota; Fungi; Ascomycota; Lecanoromycetes; Peltigerales; Lobariaceae.